CCUACGGGGGGCUGCAGUAAGGAAUUUUCGGCAAUGGGCGCAAGCCUGACCGAGCAACGCCGCGUGGAGGAUGACGGCCUUCGGGUUGUAAACUCCUUUUCUGGGGGACGAAACUGACGGUACCCCAGGAAGAAGCCCCGGCUAACUCUGUGCCAGCAGCCGCGGUAAGACAGAGGGGGCAAGCGUUGUCCGGAGUUACUGGGCGUAAAGCGUCCGCAGGCGGUACCCUACGUGGAGUGUGAAAGCGCCGGGCUUAACCCGGCGAGGCCAUUGCAAACGGGGGCACUCGAGGGCGGCAGAGGAGUGGGGAAUUGCCGGUGUAGUGGUGAAAUGCGUAGAGAUCGGCAGGAACACCAAAGGGGAAGCCACCACUCUGGGCCGCACCUGACGCUCAGGGACGAAAGCGUGGGGAGCGAACCGGCUUAGAUACCCCAGUAGUC
Molecule: ribosomal RNA, 440 nt
Filed under: uncultured bacterium
Lineage: Bacteria
Description: bacterial SSU rRNA
Rfam family: Bacterial small subunit ribosomal RNA
Source: RNAcentral